AUUGAACGCUGGCGGCAGGCCUAACACAUGCCAGUCGAACGGUAACAGGAAGAAGCUUGCUUCUUUGCUGACGAGUGGCGGACGGGUGAGUAAUGUCUGGGAAACUGCCUGAUGGAGGGGGAUAACUACUGGAAACGGUAGCUAAUACCGCAUAACGUCGCAAGACCAAAAAGGGGGACCUUCGGGCCUCUUGCCAUCGGAUGUGCCCAGAUGGGAUUAGCUAGUAGGUGGGGUAACGGCUCACCUAGGCGACGAUCCCUAGCUGGUCUGAGAGGAUGACCAGCCACACUGGAACUGAGACACGGUCCAGACUCCUACGGGAGGCAGCAGUGGGGAAUAUUGCACAAUGGGCGCAAGCCUGAUGCAGCCAUGCCGCGUGUAUGAAGAAGGCCUUCGGGUUGUAAAGUACUUUCAGCGGGGAGGAAGGGAGUAAAGUUAAUACCUUUGCUCAUUGACGUUACCCGCAGAAGAAGCACCGGCUAACUCCGU
This 489-nucleotide ribosomal RNA is filed under the name uncultured bacterium. Its description in RNAcentral is "partial 16S ribosomal RNA". It matches the Rfam family "Bacterial small subunit ribosomal RNA", at positions 30 to 506 of the family's 1533-position model. The record is from RNAcentral.